Molecule: ribosomal RNA, 636 nt
Filed under: Ingvariella bispora
Lineage: Eukaryota; Fungi; Ascomycota; Lecanoromycetes; Ostropales; Graphidaceae
Description: mitochondrial SSU rRNA
Rfam family: Bacterial small subunit ribosomal RNA
Source: RNAcentral
GACAAAUUUUGCCUAUAUGUCUUGACUAAAUCAUGUGCCAGCAGUCGCGGCAAUACAUGAAAGACUAGUGUUAUUCAUCUUAAUUUGGUUUAAAGGGUACCUAGACAGUCAAAUAAGCCUAUAAUAAAACAAAGGUACUAUUAGACUAGAGUUUAAUGUAAGAGGGGAGGAUAGAACAAGUAGAGUAGCGAUGAAAUGUGUUGAUUCACUUUGUAGACUGGUAAAGGCAAAAGCAACCUUUUAUGUAAAAACUGACGUUGAGGGACGAAGGCGACGAUUAACAAACAGGAUUAGAUACCCAAGUAAUGAGUGCAGUCAAUGAUGAAUGCCAUAUGUAAGAUAAUUUUUAUGUAUAAAUGAAAGUGUAAGCAUUCCACCUCAAGAGUAAAGUGGCAACGCAGGAACUGAAAUCAUUAGACCGUUUCUGAGAACAGUAGUGAAGUAUGUUGUUUAAUUUGAUGAUCCACGGAAAACCUUACCACAAUUUGAAUAUUUACAUAUUUAUAUGUUUAUACAAGCGUUGCACGGCUGUCUUCAGUUAAUGUCGUGAGACUAUGGUUAGCUCCAUUAAAUUAACGUAAACCCUUAUUUUAUUUUUUAUAAAAUAGUUCCUUAUUAUAUUGAAAAUUGAUAACA